RNAcentral lists this ribosomal RNA (510 nucleotides) under uncultured bacterium. RNAcentral's name for it is "bacterial SSU rRNA". It matches the Rfam family "Bacterial small subunit ribosomal RNA", at positions 29 to 518 of the family's 1533-position model. The record is from RNAcentral.
AACGAACGCUGGCGGCGUGCUUAACACAUGCAAGUCGAACGCGAAAGGGACUUCGGCCUGAGUAAAGUGGCGCACGGGUGAGUAACGCGUAGAUAACCUGUCUUCAUGUCUGGAAUAAUACGCCGAAAGGGGUACUAAUACCGGAUAUUCUUGCUUUUCAUAAGUUAUGCAAGCAAAGGUGGCCUCUGCAUAUGCUACUGCAUGAAGAGGGGUCUGCGUACCAUUAGCUAGUAGGUGGGGUAAUGGCCUACCUAGGCGACGAUGGUUAGCGGGUCUGAGAGGAUGAUCCGCCACACUGGCACUGGAACACGGGCCAGACUCCUACGGGAGGCAGCAGUGAGGAAUAUUGCGCAAUGGGGGAAACCCUGACGCAGCGACGCCGCGUGAGUGAAGGAAGGCCUUCGGGUCGUAAAGCUCUGUCAAGAGGAAAGAAGUGUACAAUGGCUAAUACCUGUUGUAUUUGACGGUACCUCUAAAGGAAGCACCGGCUAACUCCGUGCCAGCAGCGGC